GGAGAGGUCGCCUAGUGGCUAGGGCAGCAGUUUGCUAAACUGCCAUACGGGUGAAAACUCGUAUCCAGGGUUCGAAUCCCUGCCUCUCCGCCA
RNAcentral lists this transfer RNA (93 nucleotides) under Candidatus Omnitrophota bacterium. RNAcentral describes it as "Candidatus Omnitrophica bacterium tRNA-Ser". It matches the Rfam family "tRNA". Rfam says of the family: Transfer RNA (tRNA) molecules are approximately 80 nucleotides in length. Their secondary structure includes four short double-helical elements and three loops (D, anti-codon, and T loops). Lineage: Bacteria; Pseudomonadati; Candidatus Omnitrophota. The record is from RNAcentral.